AGUCGAACGGCAGCACGGGCUUCGGCCUGGUGGCGAGUGGCGAACGGGUGAGUAAUACAUCGGAACGUGCCCUGUAGUGGGGGAUAACUAGUCGAAAGAUUAGCUAAUACCGCAUACGACCUGAGGGUGAAAGCGGGGGACCGCAAGGCCUCGCGCUACAGGAGCGGCCGAUGUCUGAUUAGCUAGUUGGUGGGGUAAGAGCCUACCAAGGCGACGAUCAGUAGCUGGUCUGAGAGGACGAUCAGCCACACUGGGACUGAGACACGGCCCAGACUCCUACGGGAGGCAGCAGUGGGGAAUUUUGGACAAUGGGGGCAACCCUGAUCCAGCAAUGCCGCGUGUGUGAAGAAGGCCUUCGGGUUGUAAAGCACUUUUGUCCGGAAAGAAAUGGCCUGGGUGAAUACCCCGGGUCGAUGACGGUACCGGAAGAAUAAGCACCGGCUAACUACGUGCCAGCAGCCGCGGUAAUACGUAGGGUGCGAGCGUUAAUCGGAAUUACUGGGCGUAAAGCGUGCGCAGGCGGUUUUGUAAGACAGGCGUGAAAUCCCCGAGCUUAACUUGGGAAUGGCGCUUGUGACUGCAAGGCUAGAGUAUGUCAGAGGGGGGUAGAAUUCCACGUGUAGCAGUGAAAUGCGUAGAGAUGUGGAGGAAUACCGAUGGCGAAGGCAGCCCCCUGGGACGUCACUGACGCUCAUGCACGAAAGCGUGGGGAGCAAACAGGAUUAGAUACCCUGGUAGUCCACGCCCUAAACGAUGUCAACUAGUUGUUGGGGAUUCAUUUCUUCAGUAACGUAGCUAACUCGUGAAGUUGACCGCCUGGGGAGUACGGUCGCAAGAUUAAAACUCAAAGGAAUUGACGGGGACCCGCACAAGCGGUGGAUGAUGUGGAUUAAUUC
This 896-nucleotide ribosomal RNA is filed under the name uncultured soil bacterium. RNAcentral's name for it is "bacterial SSU rRNA". It matches the Rfam family "Bacterial small subunit ribosomal RNA", at positions 60 to 952 of the family's 1533-position model. The record is from RNAcentral.